This is a long non-coding RNA of Gossypium arboreum, 883 nucleotides long. RefSeq lists it as uncharacterized. The record is from RefSeq and is a predicted model, not a curated record. The transcript is spliced from 2 exons. NCBI's taxonomy places the organism in Eukaryota, Viridiplantae, Streptophyta, Magnoliopsida, Malvales, Malvaceae.
GAUUCUCUUCUAUCUUAUGUUUAUGUUCUUUUUUUAUACUUACAUCAUGUUCCAUUACAGCUGAAUUCAGUGGGCCCUCUAUUAAAACUUUGUUUGGUUGGGUGUAAUGAGUUAUUACAGCCUCAUUCAAUAUGGCCUUAUUCAACGCAAAAGUGUCGUUUACAAUUCGACACCCUCCCCACGGAAUAGGGAUUCAACGAAUGGCUGGGUAAAAAAUUAUGUUGAGACUUUCAACUUUACCCUUCUCUUUCUCACGUCUGAAGCAAUCUUUUCUUUUUUCAUUCUUCUUCCUAUUUUAUUCCAAACUUGUCUCCCUCUUUUUCACGCUUCUGUUAUCACCAACUCUAUCUCCCUUAGAUAAACCCUAACAAGGCCUUCAAUUAAGAUUCAUUUUUUUAACUCCAACCCUUAACAAGGCUUUCGAUUGAGAUGGAAACUUGAGAAGUGAAACAAUCGGCAGUCCUCCCUCAGAAACAAGCACAUUAUGAUUGAUCUUGGCAUCGAUAAUAACAAGAUUAACUGGGCUCUCAAGGACAAACAGGAGGUCAGAGACAUCAUUGGGACUAUAUACCGUGAGGCAUGGAAAGGCCGUGGUUUGAAAGAUUACUCGAAAAAGUACUGCUAUUGAGUAUUCUUCCAACAUGUAGUUGAUCAGAAUGUAAAUUGUAUGUAGAUAUGUGUGUCAUUUGCAAUGUUUGGUUGCAUGAAUGUGGAGGAUAAUCCAAUUUGAGAUGAAACUUUGAAAUAUAUAUUUUAUGUGCUCUUUUGAUGCUUGUUUACAGUAUAGCACCUUAGCUUGGAGUGACUUUCCUUACAGUUGUUUGAUAAGGAACAAGUGUUUUAAUUUAACUAUAUAAAAAUAUAAAUGAUAUGUUUAUAAAGA